UGCAUUCACUACUGUAAGUCGCUCUGGAUAAGAGCGUCUGGUAAAUGUAAAUGU
Molecule: non-coding RNA, 54 nt
Organism: Salmo salar (Atlantic salmon)
Lineage: Eukaryota; Metazoa; Chordata; Actinopteri; Salmoniformes; Salmonidae
Source: Rfam